AGAAUUAAUACCAAUUUAUGCAAGUGAUAUUUUCCCAAAAGCUGUUAUUACUGUUCCAAAGGAAGUUAUCACUGUUCCAUUGAAAUCUGCUGCAGAAACUGUUUCAUCGCCUCAUGCAACUGGAGCAAAUGUGAGGGUUACUAACAAUUCAGACCCUCAAAUUAGUCCAGUAAUUGUCCCGAUUGAGUCUGAGAAUGGGGUCAGAACCACAUGCAACAACCACCACCACCUGUUAUUCCAAAUUAACAACUCAGACCCUCAAAUUAGUCCAGUAAUUGUCCCGAUGGAGUCUGAGAACCACAUGCAACAACCACCAUCACCUGUUAUUCCAAAUGCAGCUUGUGAUGAAGGAGCAAAAAUCGAUCCACCCAAACAGUGGGCUAGUCUAUUUCAGAGGAAUCGGCUUGCUGCAAAUGGUAUGUCACUAGAGUAUAUUCCCCCUACACUCAAUUAAUGGUAAACCAGUUGGUCAGCUGGUGAAGGAAGAGGUGGAGGAGGAAGAAGUAAAAUGGAAAUGUGCUCUUCUUGUAUUUGUGCUAGGUAAUAGCCCUGGAUAUAAUGGUAUGAAAAGGUUUAUUAACCUUCACUGGUCGCAUGUUCCUGAACAUGAGCUAUUUUAUCACGAUGAGGGAUACUAUAUUGCUAAAUUUAAUUCCAUAGAUGAUGCUAAAGAAAUUCUAUGUGGGGGGCCUUAUACUAUUGCCAACAGACUUAUGAUUUUGAAGCAGUGGUCAGUUGAUUUUGAUUUCAAAGCAGCUUUUCCUUCAGAAAUUCCCUUGUGGAUCAAGCUCCCUAACUUGCCUAUGUCCUGUUAGGGUAGCAAAUCUUUAAGUAGGAUUACUAGUGUCCUUGGUAGACCUAUUUUUGCUGAUGAAUGUAC
Molecule: long non-coding RNA, 880 nt
Filed under: Nicotiana benthamiana
Lineage: Eukaryota; Viridiplantae; Streptophyta; Magnoliopsida; Solanales; Solanaceae
Description: long non-coding RNA (NBEN_LNC020753)
Source: RNAcentral